This 456-nucleotide ribosomal RNA is filed under the name Weissella cibaria. RNAcentral's name for it is "bacterial SSU rRNA". It matches the Rfam family "Bacterial small subunit ribosomal RNA", at positions 60 to 485 of the family's 1533-position model. The record is from RNAcentral. Lineage: Bacteria; Bacillati; Bacillota; Bacilli; Lactobacillales; Lactobacillaceae.
GGUUCAACUGAUUUGAAGAGCUUGCUCAGAUAUGACGAUGGACAUUGCAAAGAGUGGCGAACGGGUGAGUAACACGUGGGAAACCUACCUCUUAGCAGGGGAUAACAUUUGGAAACAGAUGCUAAUACCGUAUAACAAUAGCAACCGCAUGGUUGCUACUUAAAAGAUGGUUCUGCUAUCACUAAGAGAUGGUCCCGCGGUGCAUUAGUUAGUUGGUGAGGUAAUGGCUCACCAAGACGAUGAUGCAUAGCCGAGUUGAGAGACUGAUCGGCCACAAUGGGACUGAGACACGGCCCAUACUCCUACGGGAGGCAGCAGUAGGGAAUCUUCCACAAUGGGCGAAAGCCUGAUGGAGCAACGCCGCGUGUGUGAUGAAGGGUUUCGGCUCGUAAAACACUGUUGUAAGAGAAGAAUGACAUUGAGAGUAACUGUUCAAUGUGUGACGGUAUCUUACCA